This 769-nucleotide ribosomal RNA is filed under the name uncultured Neocallimastigales. RNAcentral's name for it is "partial large subunit ribosomal RNA". It matches the Rfam family "Eukaryotic large subunit ribosomal RNA", at positions 26 to 633 of the family's 3401-position model. The record is from RNAcentral. Lineage: Eukaryota; Fungi; Neocallimastigomycota; Neocallimastigomycetes; Neocallimastigales.
CGCAUCUGUGCAUGCAGCAUAUCAAUAGCGGAGGAAAAGAAACUAACAAGGAUUCCCUCAGUAACGGCGAGUGAAGCGGGAAGAGCUCAAAUUUGAAAUCUUCAAGGGUUUACCUUACGAAUUGUAGUUUAAAGAAGUGUUUUCUGCUGAAGUUUUGGUAAAAGUUCUUUGGAAUAGGACAUCACAGAGGGUGAGAAUCCCGUCUAUGAUCCAUAUUUUAGCUUUGUGAUACACUUUCAAAGAGUCGGGUUGUUUGGGAAUGCAGCCCAAAACGGGAGGUAAAUUUCUUCUAAGGCUAAAUAUUGGCGAGAGACCGAUAGCGAACAAGUACCGUGAGGGAAAGAUGAAAAGAACUUUGAAAAGAGAGUUAAACUAGUACGUGAAAUUGUCAAAAGGGAAGCGUUUAACACCAGUGUUGUUUUCUGAAAAUCAACCUCUGUUAGCUUUAUGCAUGUUUGUUUAGACCUAAUCAGCUAUCUUGCAUGUUCUAUUGUUUGCAGUGGUGCACUUUUCAGUUUACAGGUCAACAUUAGUUUUUUUUACCGUAAAAAAGUUAAAGAAAGGUAGCUCAUGGCUCCGGUCGUGAGUGUUAUAGUCUUUUUCCUAUGCGGUAGGAGAGACUGAGGUCUGCAGUGUAGGCUAUUUGGCUAGAUACUCAGGUGCUAUGUGAUACCAUUUCAUAAACAACUUGUUGAUUAUGUUUUGUCUAUUGCAUACUCGCUUGUACUAUCAUACCUACGCUUAGGAUGUUGACGAUCAGCUGAGCGCG